GGUGUUUGGCACCUCGAUGUCGGCUCAUCUCAUCCUGGGGCUGAAGCAGGUCCCAAGGGUAUGGCUGUUCGCCAUUUAAAGAGGUACGCGAGCUGGGUUUAGAACGUCGUGAGACAGUUCGGUCCCUAUCUACCGUGGGCGCUGGAAAUUUGAGAGGAUCUGCUCCUAGUACGAGAGGACCAGAGUGGACGAACCUCUGGUGUACCGGUUGUGACGCCAGUCGCAUCGCCGGGUAGCUAUGUUCGGAAGGGAUAACCGCUGAAAGCAUCUAAGCGGGAAGCCUACCUCAAGAUAAGAUUUCCCUAGGACUUUAUGUCCUCUAAAGAGCCGUUCGAGACUAGGACGUUGAUAGGUUGGAUGUGGAAGCAUAGUGAUAUGUGAAGCUGACCAAUACUAAUUGCUCGUGAGGCUUGACUAUACAACACCCAAGCAGUUG
Molecule: ribosomal RNA, 436 nt
Filed under: Acinetobacter baumannii
Lineage: Bacteria; Pseudomonadati; Pseudomonadota; Gammaproteobacteria; Moraxellales; Moraxellaceae
Description: partial 23S ribosomal RNA
Rfam family: Bacterial large subunit ribosomal RNA
Source: RNAcentral